UAUCUACCCUUUGGCCUGGAAUAACACGAGGAAACUUGUGCUAAUACCGGAUAAGUCUUUACGGAGAAAGCUUUAUGCACCAUUGGAUGAGCCUGCAUUUGAUUAGUUUGUUGGUGGGGUAAUGGCCUACCAAGACUGUGAUCAAUAGCUGAUUUGAGAGGAUGAUCAGCCACAUUGGGACUGAGACACGGCCCAAACUCCUACGGGAGGCAGCAGUGGGGAAUCUUGCACAAUGGAGGAAACUCUGAUGCAGCGAUGCCGCGUGAGUGAAGAAGGCCUUUGGGUUGUAAAGCUCUUUCGUCGGGGAAGAAAAUGACUGUACCCGAAUAAGAAGGUCCGGCUAACUUCGUGCCAGCAGCCGCGGUAAUACGAAGGGACCUAGCGU
Molecule: ribosomal RNA, 385 nt
Filed under: uncultured bacterium
Lineage: Bacteria
Description: bacterial SSU rRNA
Rfam family: Bacterial small subunit ribosomal RNA
Source: RNAcentral